This 497-nucleotide ribosomal RNA is filed under the name uncultured bacterium. RNAcentral describes it as "partial 16S ribosomal RNA". It matches the Rfam family "Bacterial small subunit ribosomal RNA", at positions 28 to 507 of the family's 1533-position model. The record is from RNAcentral.
GAUGAACGCUGGCGGCGUGCCUAAUACAUGCAAGUCGAGCGAACAGACGAGGAGCUUGCUCCUCUGACGUUAGCGGCGGACGGGUGAGUAACACGUGGAUAACCUACCUAUAAGACUGGGAUAACUUCGGGAAACCGGAGCUAAUACCGGAUAAUAUAUUGAACCGCAUGGUUCAAUAGUGAAAGACGGUUUUGCUGUCACUUAUAGAUGGAUCCGCGCCGCAUUAGCUAGUUGGUAAGGUAACGGCUUACCAAGGCAACGAUGCGUAGCCGACCUGAGAGGGUGAUCAGCCACACUGGAACUGAGACACGGUCCAGACUCCUACGGGAGGCAGCAGUAGGGAAUCUUCCGCAAUGGGCGAAAGCCUGACGGAGCAACGCCGCGUGAGUGAUGAAGGUCUUCGGAUCGUAAAACUCUGUUAUUAGGGAAGAACAAAUGUGUAAGUAACUAUGCACGUCUUGACGGUACCUAAUCAGAAAGCCACGGCUGACUACGUG